Molecule: long non-coding RNA, 1140 nt
Organism: Bombus pascuorum
Lineage: Eukaryota; Metazoa; Arthropoda; Insecta; Hymenoptera; Apidae
Exons: 2
Source: RefSeq, a predicted model, not a curated record
GUGUGUACCGAUACGUAGGUGUACGCGUGUGCGUACGUAUAUGUGAAAAAACAUAGGAGGGGAAGCCGAAGGGCGACGAAUCGAGACAAAUUCGGGCGAAGGGCAUCGUCCGCGUGCGGAGUCCCGCGGCGUGGCGCGUCUUUUUUUCUUACCCCUUCCAGGUCCGGUCCGCCACCUUCCGUCCGUAUACCCCGUAAAUUACGCAACGCGCAGAAGCUGCAGUUUGAUUAUUCGUCGCGGAAUCGGCGCGCGGAAUGUAGGCCGGCCGUUCUCUCCCAGCGCGCGUAUACCGUACACUGGCCAUGGAUUUUCGAGGAAAUUAUCGCCUGGGCCAGUGCACACGGUUAGAACUCUCGACCGAAACUCUCGAGUCUGGAAAUUGCAAAACAGCAAGCGGAUCUCCAGGGUCGGAGAAAUCCGAAUUCCACGAACGAUCGUGAGCUAAGAGGAAAAAGCCUUGGACGCGACACGGAUACACCGAAGCGAGAGAUAAGUUUCUUUUUCCUCGUUGGAAGUGGAUCGAAGUCGAUCGAACGUUCGCUUGGUUCGGACUCGAUGAAACGGACCGAAAGCGAGAGUGUCGUCGUCGAAGGCACGCUUUAGCCGUAUAUAUACGUAGUAGCAUGCAUCUGUCGUCUAUUAUUGCGCAGCAAAGUGCGCUCGAGUUAACGCGAGUCCACUCGAUUUGGCCGAGGCGAUGAUCGUACGCCUUCUAGGCGGGUUAUCGAUUAUCGAUGCCUCGACGGCGUAUGACGUUUCCUCCGUUAUUAAUAUCGUCCGACGGAAAAGAGGAUCGCUAGAGACAGAGAGGAACAGAGAAACGGGAUGCUGCGACGAGCAAGGAAAUCGGUAAGCACGAGAAUGAUGCUGCUCGAUAUAUAAUUUUACCGAGCAAACUCCGUAUCGGCGUUUCCGAGACGAAACGGCACCGUUAUUUCGCCUGUGAUUAUUUCUGUCGCGAAUAUGAACCAGAAGGGACCGCGGCAUCUUCGGGGAAUCGUCGAUGCAUCGAGACGCGCGAAAUAGUUUGCGAAGUUUUAAUAUCCGUUGAAAUACGUCGAUACAUCGCGAGAGUCGAGAUGCAGUCCAUCGAGGACAGGAUCAUUUUUGUGAAUCCAAUGGGGCGGGUGAGACAAGAAA